GACGAACGCUGGCGGCGUGCUUAACACAUGCAAGUCGAACGGAAAGGCCCUGCUUUUGUGGGGUGCUCGAGUGGCAAACGGGUGAGGAACACGUGAGUAACCUGCCCUUGAUUUUGGUAUAACUUCAGGUAACUGGGGCUAAUACCAGAUAGGAGCUCCUGCUGCAUGGUGGGGGUUGGAAAGUUUCGGCGGUUGGGGAUGGACUCGCGGCUUAUGAGCUUGUUGGUGGGGUAGUGGCUUACCCAGGCUUUGACGGGUAGCCGGCCUGAGAGGGUGACCGGCGACAUGGGGACUGCGAUACGGCGCAGACGGCAACGGGAGGCAGCAGUGGCGAACAUUGCACAAUGGGAGGAAGCCUGAUGAAGAAACGCCGCGUGCGGGAUGACGGCCUUCGGGUUGUAAAAAGCUUUCGCCUGUGACGAAGCGUGAGUGACGGUAAUGGGUAAAGAAGCACCGGCUAACUACGUG
RNAcentral lists this ribosomal RNA (468 nucleotides) under uncultured bacterium. RNAcentral describes it as "partial 16S ribosomal RNA". It matches the Rfam family "Bacterial small subunit ribosomal RNA", at positions 28 to 507 of the family's 1533-position model. The record is from RNAcentral.